UAAUAAGUGCUUUAUGGCACUUUUUAAAUCCAUAUCCACCUUGUGUGCAAUGUCAGUCGAUCUUCUUCAUGGAGAUCGACCAAACAUCAACCUUUAUCUUUUAACUCUUUGUCUGAAAAAUAUUAUGAAUAAACAAUUCAAAAUA
Molecule: unclassified non-coding RNA, 145 nt
Filed under: soil metagenome
Description: partial internal transcribed spacer 1
Source: RNAcentral